This 418-nucleotide ribosomal RNA is filed under the name uncultured bacterium. RNAcentral describes it as "bacterial SSU rRNA". It matches the Rfam family "Bacterial small subunit ribosomal RNA", at positions 355 to 791 of the family's 1533-position model. The record is from RNAcentral.
UGGGGAAUAUUGCACAAUGGGGGAAACCCUGAUGCAGCGACGCCGCGUGGAGGAAGAAGGUCUUCGGAUUGUAAACUCCUGUUGUUGAGGAAGAUAAUGACGGUACUCAACAAGGAAGUGACGGCUAACUACGUGCCAGCAGCCGCGGUAAAACGUAGGUCACAAGCGUUGUCCGGAAUUACUGGGUGUAAAGGGAGCGCAGGCGGGAGAACAAGUUGGAAGUGAAAUCCAUGGGCUCAACCCAUGAACUGCUUUCAAAACUGUUUUCUUGAGUAGUGCAGAGGUAGGCGGAAUUCCCGGUGUAGCGGUGGAAUGCGUAGAUAUCGGGAGGAACACCAGUGGCGAAGGCGGCCUACUGGGCACCAACUGACGCUGAGGCUCGAAAGUGUGGGUAGCAAACAGGAUUAGAUACCCGAGU